RNAcentral lists this long non-coding RNA (1814 nucleotides) under Pogona vitticeps (central bearded dragon). Its description in RNAcentral is "lncRNA (ENSPVIG00000023322.1)". The record is from RNAcentral. Lineage: Eukaryota; Metazoa; Chordata; Lepidosauria; Squamata; Agamidae.
AUGCAAUAGUUUUAUAGACCACUAAAAAAAUAUCAUCACACCAUCUGUGAGCUUUCGGGGAUGGACCCCACUUUGUCAGGCUUGUACGGGUGUAAAGAACAUGAAGAGUCGAAAAUUCCUUGGCAAGUGGAUUUUGCUAAGCAUGUGUUCCUUAGAUGUAAAUCAGGAAAGAUGCAGGUAGCAUCUGAGCUUCUGUUUAAAAGUUAGAGCUGAGGCAGCUGUGGAUCUGGAUACCACAGUCCAGAAAAUAAAACACACACACACACACACACACACACACAGAGAGAUAGAUAGAUAGAUAGAGAGAGAGAGAGAGAGAGAGAGAGAGAGAUGCCACUAGAGUCUUUGUGUUUUUUUAGUGCCCCCGACUAAUACAUUUCCCCUCACCUCCACCAUUGUGAGGGUUUUAAUUCUUAGAGGAAGCAAUGAGGGCUCUAAUUCAUUGAUGGGGAUCACCUAUGAGGCCUGGAAUUAAGAACUAAAAGGCCUGACCUCACUGCGGACCGUGGCUGAGUGGCGUUUUGGUUCCUGCAGUGUGUUCUGCCUUCUCCCGAGGAAGUCUCAACGUCUGUUACAGGCAACAGGUCAUCAGAAGCUGGUAAGCGUAGCUGUCCGAGAGACAUGAUUCAGGCAGACCUCCAGGUCUGAAAAAUUAUCCCUGCAAGUGGACCUAAGGACCAACUAAGAAAAAAAAAUAAGACAAGCUGGUUUGCAAAACACAGGAGGUGUGAAAAGUUUCCCCUGUGACAGUGAGACUUGUCCGGACAGAAGGAGCCCCUUCCACGUCUGGUUGGGUUUGGCCCUCAGACAGAGCACUCUGCCCGGUCGCAGAAUUGAGGCUAAGAGCUCCCUUUCGCUGGCUUUUGUGCCUGGCACAGCUUCAGACCUCUCAGCUGGAUUUCUCACCCCAGGCGGUCCCGUUCCGUGGCUGCACCAAGAGAGGAGCAUCUCAGCACAGUGGCCGAAAAGUGACCGCGUUUCUCCGAGAGGAGCCAGGCGUUGGCCUCCCAGCCCAUCAAUCUUUCAGGAGUGGCUUAUCUCUCUGGGAACAGGCGGCGGCUCCGGCUGAGGGACCACCAGAAAAGCAGCAGGGAGGAAACCGGGGCAGCUGCGACAACAAACACCAACCCAACGGCUUUGUGCCAGGACCCACAAGAGCAGCCAUGAAAUAUUCAUCCCAGCUCGGCGGCGGCUGCCACUUCUCAGCACUGGAUAAGAGUUCCUCUUUAAAACUUACCGAAAGCUUUCAUGGAGUGGAACAUCGGAUGGCGUGGGCUACGCUCCACAAAAGUAAAUACCAAAUAAAACCUACUAAGCUUUCAGAUACCACGAGACCCGCUGCUGUAGGAGAUGGCACAUCAGAACGAAGACUCGAGAAACCUGGGUUCAAAUCCCCGCUCUGCCAUGAACGCUCAACUGAGGGAGCGGCAACGGUAAACCCCUCGUGGAACACGUCGUACUUCAAAAACCCUUUUAGGGCUGCCAUUAAUUUGGGGGUCAGGCAAAAAAAAUAAAAACCAAAACUUGGUGGUGCCUUAAAGACUGAUGGCUAUAUAAAGACUGACUGCUCCAUGGGGCUGCCCUUGAAGGCGGUUUGGAAGCUGCAGCAAGCGCAAAAUGCUGUGGCCAGGCUGGUCACGGAUACCUCAAAAUUUGACCACCUUUCACCUGUCCAGGCUUGCUUGCCCUGGCUGCCCAGAUGCUUCUGGGACAAAAUCAGCCUUCCAUCCUUCCGAGGUCGGUAAAAUGAGUACCCAGCUUGCUGGGGGGGGGGGCAAUGUGUAGCCUGUAUAAUAAAAAAUUUAAACCGCCCA